CCUUUUCUUUCAAAUCUAUAUUCUCUUCUGAUGCGGACUUCCAUCUAAUUGGAAAAGCAAUAAUUAUUUUUCUCCGGUCAGCUGGACUGUAUCAGAAAAUCUAAACUGAAUAGAUCAAUCUGACCUGUGGAGGGCAGCAUUACACAAUUUAGUGUACAGCCUGCCGAAAUUCCAUUAGAAGAAGAAGAAGGGUAAGCUGCAUGAGAGACGAGCUACAGGAGCCUCUUACCAUGCCGAAACCGCCGUGCUGAAACCCGCGACGAACGAGUGUUUAGCAGACGCAUGGACUGGCCACGGUUUUGAUUGAUGGCGAGCUAAGGAGCAGGCCUAGAGCCUACAGACUGACAGAUUGCUGAAGAGCCGCAUCCUUCCUGCCAGGCUCGUAGGGGGCUCUCUGUAGCCCACAAGAACUCUCACCCCACUCGCUGCCCCCAUUGCCACUACACCCACACAUUCCCUUCACACACACUUUCUCACUCAUAUUCCCCCUGGACUCAAUCUCAAACCCAGACGUGGGUUUCAAUGAACUGUGGGUGGGCGCUGGGGUCAUGAUUUGUGUUCACGCUGAACCGAGUAUUUGGGAGUGUACAAUUGUUGACGCUGAGAUAUAUCUGUGUCAGUUGAAGUCUUAUUGCGCAUAUAGAUUAUUUGAUGUGCAUACUCAAGUCUUAUUGUGCAAAUUGAUUAUUUGAUGUGCAUAUUCAAGUAAUUGAAUGAGAGUUGAUUUACCUUGAACUGCUGUUCCUAGUCCGUGUUUACAAAUUGAUCGAUCUACUCACUGUACAUAAUUGCACUUUAAAUAUUGUAUGUCAUUUUUUCCAAUACAUGGUACUAUUUAAAAGCAUCUCAGUCUCCUGUCUACUCCCUCCUUGAGCGUCCUCUAGACUUCUGAUCACUAGCCUAUCACUGUGCUUUACUGGGUUAUACGUCACCCUGACAUUUUGAGGUAUCAAUACAGUGGUUAUUAGUCCUAGUAUGUUAAAUUAAUUUGACCCAGGUGCUACAUUUGGGUUUGCAUAAAUUGAUGUGUUAGAUGAACAUAUUAGUGAAGAAAGGUAGUGGUAAGCAUUUUUUUCACAGAUGGUCUAUUCUAUUUGCUAAAAUUCCCUAACUAUAACUGAAAUGGUCCUUAUUUUUAUAAUAAAAAUAAAUGGCCAAAGGUCAAAGUUCAGUCCCCACCAAGAGGAUUUUGUCUGUCUUUGACACUUGCACUAUUGUCUGUUCAAAUAAAUGAAAAGAAAUGGAUCCUUGUGCAUUGGACAGUGACUUCUGUGUACCCUUAGGACCCUGACACACCAAGCCUGCGGUUAGCUGUCGGUCAAAGUUGGGCCAUUGGUUAACAUCUUUUGCCCUAGUUGGUGCAAUGUGUCGCACUGUUGCCCCUUGUCAGUCCCUGUCAACCUUUUUCUUUUAGCUGAUUCAGCAUGUUGAAUUGGCAUCAGCAAUGCCAGAGCUCGUCAGUGAAUGAAAUCACUCUGACGAGCAGUUCAGCUCAUUUCAUGGGAAGAAAAACGGAGGUGGGGAAAGUAAACAAAGAGUUAAAGUCAAGAGGGAAUGAGAACAAGAACAUGUUCCAUAAGGUCAGAUUAUUUUUCAUCCACUGAGCUCUUUAGCAGAAAACGUUUCCUGAUGGUUUGUGUUAUUGUUUACUGCCGCACAGUAAAUACGCUCUGUUCUAUCAACAUUGGAUUGUGUUAUUAAUAUACUGACUGGCUUAAGUAUAAUCUGUAGUUCAAGCUUCAGCCCUAGAGCCAGUGAAAAACAGCUUACAGCUGAGAGAUGAGCAAGGAGAUCUGGGCGCUCGUAACUUGGUGGGAAGUUUACCAUAGUUCAUGUAAACACACUACCCACACUGUUACCAUACAAAGCUGGUUGAAAAUUGGCAAAGUAUCCCUUUUUUUUUAAGAUUAUUUUUGGGGCUUUUGCCUUUAAUGGACAGGACAGUGUGUGAAAUGGGGAAGAGAGAGAGAGUGGGGAAUGACACGCAGCAGAGGGCUGCAGUCCGGAGUCGAACCUGCGGCCGCUGCAGCAAGGCAGUGCCUCUGUACGUGGGGCGCCAGCACUAUCCACCACGCCCUGGCAAAGUAUCCCUUUAAGGAUUUAUUUCAACCAAAACCAAGUUGGUGAUUGUACAUUCACUGAAUGUAGAGUCUGUAUAUAGAGACUACUUAGACACAAACACCUUUGAAAAAUAGGGUCCAGGUUGAAAAAUACCCAUUGAAGUGAAGAAGGCCACACACCAACUCUGCAGCAUUAUACUGAAUGCUUUAAUUUCCCCGUUUUGCGGGCGUUUUCAUAAAUACUGACUGUAUCUAGGAGUGCUGAUGAGAAAAGCUUAACCACAUGUUAGAGAUGAGUAAGUAACCAGGUACAUUUAGCCUACUCCAGUCUGUACUGAAGAAUGCUGCUGAGGUACGUCUAACGCAAAGUUGAAGUAGCUGUUGAUAAUUACAAAUAGGGUUGCAGGGAUAACCAAUUUUAAGGUAUACCGUGAUAUAAAAGUUGAUGGCUAUCAUACCGUGUAUAUUUGCUUAUCUACAAU
Epinephelus moara (kelp grouper) is the source of this 2542-nucleotide long non-coding RNA. RefSeq lists it as uncharacterized. Lineage: Eukaryota; Metazoa; Chordata; Actinopteri; Perciformes; Serranidae. The transcript is spliced from 3 exons. The record is from RefSeq and is a predicted model, not a curated record.